This 497-nucleotide ribosomal RNA is filed under the name uncultured bacterium. RNAcentral's name for it is "partial 16S ribosomal RNA". It matches the Rfam family "Bacterial small subunit ribosomal RNA", at positions 28 to 507 of the family's 1533-position model. The record is from RNAcentral.
GAUGAACGCUGGCGGCGUGCCUAAUACAUGCAAGUCGAGCGAACAGACGAGGAGCUUGCUCCUCUGACGUUAGCGGCGGACGGGUGCGUAACACGUGGAUAACCUACCUAUAAGACUGGGAUAACUUCGGGAAACCGGAGCUAAUACCGGAUAAUAUAUUGAACCGCAUGGUUCAAUAGUGAAAGACGGUUUUGCUGUCACUUAUAGAUGGAUCCGCGCCGCAUUAGCUAGUUGGUAAGGUAACGGCUUACCAAGGCAACGAUGCGUAGCCGACCUGAGAGGGUGAUCGGCCACACUGGAACUGAGACACGGUCCAGACUCCGACGGGAGGCCGCAGUAGGGAAUCUUCCGCAAUGGGCGAAAGCUUGACGGAGCAACGCCGCGUGAGUGAUGAAGGUCUUCGGAUCGUAAAACUCUGUUAUUAGGGAAGAACAAAUGUGUAAGUAACUAUGCACGUCUUGACGGUACCUAAUCAGAAAGCCACGGCUAACUACGUG